UUGUUGAGGUUUGUGUUAGAAAUGUUCAGAAGGAACAUUCUAGAACCAUUUUCUCGCUGCAUGUCACUGGGACUGCAUCGCACAUGGCUAAAUACAUGGAAAUUGUGAAACUUUCUACUUAGUUGAGAUUAAGUCAUGGGGUUUUCGGAAUUCUCAAGCUCUGGGGCCAAAAUCUGGGGCACCACUGGAUUUUCAUGAAUUUAAAAUGAUUGGGUCUUAAGUUUUCAAAAGUCAAAUCUAAGGCAAACAUAUCAGAGAGCUAUGUUCCUCUACCUCUGGAGGGACAACUUAAGCUCCCAGUUCAGUGCGUGGAUAAUCCAGAGGGACAUGAGGUUAUGGUGGUAUAUGAAUCUGAGAUGUUCCCCAUGACUAAACAGUCUGCAAGGCAGAAAGAUAAAAUUAUCAUGGAGCCAUGAUGAGGUUUGCUUGCCAUGCCUUACCAGAGAAUUAAGAUGGAAAGGAUCCACAAUGACUCUCCAAAUUCCAAUAAAAUCAAACGAUAUAUAAAACAGACAUUUAAU
This is a non-coding RNA of Electrophorus electricus (electric eel), 521 nucleotides long. The record is from RefSeq and is a predicted model, not a curated record. Lineage: Eukaryota; Metazoa; Chordata; Actinopteri; Gymnotiformes; Gymnotidae.